Molecule: long non-coding RNA, 1403 nt
Organism: Cucumis melo (muskmelon)
Lineage: Eukaryota; Viridiplantae; Streptophyta; Magnoliopsida; Cucurbitales; Cucurbitaceae
Exons: 3
Source: RefSeq, a predicted model, not a curated record
GAAAGGAUAAAAAGAAGAAAAGGAGAAGAAAAUUUCAUUUUUUCUUUUCUUCUUCUUCUUCUCUUCCCUUCACCGCCAAGAUUUUGAAGACAUCCAAGUUCGAUUUUUUUUUCUUUUUCGUUCUUCAAUUUGCAGAGAACUUCUAAGAGAGAGUUUGGAAGAAGAAGAGAAAUUUUACUAGAAUUUUUAGGUUGAAGAAGAGGAGGAGAACUCAAGCAAAGUGUAUCAAUGGCUGAAUUUUAGUUCAUUCUGAACAUCACUGGUUUUUAAUUCGGUUUGAACUCUUUAAAAGGAAUUAAGAGGGCAGUUGGUUUUCACCCGAAAUCAGCAGGUCUCUGGUUUUUCUUGUAUUUCAGAGUGUAUCGGAGGAGUUAGAAUCUCUAUUUGAUGUGGUUGGAAAGCUUAUUCACUUUACUACAACUUUCAUGAAGAAAUGGUAAACCCAAAACGACGAAAAAGCAGUUAAAUUGUAGGGACAAGUUAAAGAGGUCGUGUGCGCGCGAUUCUGGAAGUGGUUCUGUUUUGAGGGUUAUAUGUGUUUAUGCACGGGGAAUCAGAUUUAUAUGUCUUCAGGCCGAGAAGAAUUAAACCGAGCUUAUAGACCAAGGAUCUAGCCCAAGACUGUGAGUGACAAAACCAACUUUGAAAUAUUUUCCAUAAUUGUUAUUAUGAUUGAAUGCGAUAAAUGUUUAUUUACGAAGCCAUGAAAAGUAUUUGAAUUUCAUGACUAUUUUCAAGUAUACAUUUGGAGACUAGAUUUCUUAUAGAAAUUUAUGCUAGCACGUAGAUAUUAAAUGUUUGGAAAGUAUUUAAACCACAAUAUUUUAAGCAAAGCAUGAAUUAGUAUGAAGUUUUGUUUUAAGAACUACAAUUUUCCACGAAAGAGCUGAGUAAAGUUCGAGCUUUGUCUAAAAUUUAUAAGUAGGCAUGUUUUAAUAUUUAAAGAUGAUUUAUGAAAUUUUCAUUAACUACAUGACUGAGAUCUUGAGCCUGAGGCUAGAGAUUACCGUGUGCACACUGGUUACAUUCCGUUGUUGACGUUGAGUGUACUCCGUAACAACGAUGCUGUCGUGAGUGCUGAGCGGGCUCCACUACGACAAAGAUGAUGGGAGUGCUAGGCGGGCCCCACUACAUCGUAGUGCUUGUAAACGUUGUUGUACUAGGUGUACCCUACACAACGUAGAUUCGUCAUGUUAGUUAAAAUGCUUCGAUAUACUUGAUAUGCCUUGCUAGAUUUCAAUGAUGAACAUGCUGAGUAUUUAAGGAAGCUAUUCUUACUACUACACAUUUACAUUUGCGACUUGUAUAACAGAUUUAUAUGUGUAAAGCUUUCACGUGCUCUUAUCUUUAAAUUCAUAGUUUUAAACUGAGUCACUCACUGAGCUUCAUAGCUCACCCUUUCU